Molecule: ribosomal RNA, 515 nt
Filed under: uncultured bacterium
Lineage: Bacteria
Description: partial 16S ribosomal RNA
Rfam family: Bacterial small subunit ribosomal RNA
Source: RNAcentral
GAUGAACGCUGGCGGCGUGCCUAAUACAUGCAAGUCGAGCGAAUGGAUUGAGAGCUUGCUCUUAUGAAGUUAGCGGCGGACGGGUGAGUAACACGUGGGUAACCUGCCCAUAAGACUGGGAUAACUCCGGGAAACCGGGGCUAAUACCGGAUAACAUUUUGAACCGCAUGGUUCGAAAUUGAAAGGCGGCUUCGGCUGUCACUUAUGGAUGGACCCGCGUCGCAUUAGCUAGUUGGUGAGGUAACGGCUCACCAAGGCAACGAUGCGUAGCCGACCUGAGAGGGUGAGCGGCCACACUGGGACUGAGACACGGCCCAGACUCCUACGGGAAGCAGCAGUAGGGAAGCUUCCGCAAUGGACGAAAGUCUGACGGAGCAACGCCGCGUGAGUGAUGAAGGCUUUCGGGUCGUAAAACUCUGUUGUUAGGGAAGAACAAGUGCUAGUUGAAUAAGCUGGCACCUUGACGGUACCUAACCAGAAAGCCACGGCUAACUACGUGCCAGCAGCCGCCGUAA